ACGGAAGGCAGCAGUGAGGAAUACUGGUCAAUGGUCGUAAGACUGAACCAGCCAAGUAGCGUGAAGGAUGACUGCCCUAUGGGUUGUAAACUUCUUUUAUACGGGAAUAAAGUGCGUCACGUGUGAUGUUUUGUAUGUACCGUAUGAAUAAGGAUCGGCUAAUUCCGUGCCAGCAGCCGCGGUAAUACGGAAGAUCCGAGCGUUAUCCGGAUUUAUUGGGUUUAAAGGGAGCGUAGGCGGGCUUUUAAGUCAGUGGUCAAAGCGUGUGGCUCAACCAUACCACGCCAUUGAUACUGGAGGCCUUGAGUGCACAUAAGGAUGGUGGAAUUCAUGGUGUAGCGGUGAAAUGCUUAGAUAUCAUGAAGAACUCCGAUUGCGAAGGCAGCUGUCCGGGGUGUAACUGACGCUAAUGCUCGAAAGUGCGGGUAUCAAACAGGAUUAGAUACCCUGGUA
This 453-nucleotide ribosomal RNA is filed under the name uncultured Prevotellaceae bacterium. RNAcentral's name for it is "bacterial SSU rRNA". It matches the Rfam family "Bacterial small subunit ribosomal RNA", at positions 341 to 792 of the family's 1533-position model. Lineage: Bacteria; Pseudomonadati; Bacteroidota; Bacteroidia; Bacteroidales; Prevotellaceae. The record is from RNAcentral.